UGGCUAUAUCAUGUUAAAACACUGGGUCUUGUAUGAUCACUGAAGUUAAGCAACAUUAAGCCUAGCCAGUACCUAGAUGGGUGACUGUGUAAGAAUACCAGGUGCUGUAAG
This is a non-coding RNA of Acanthosepion pharaonis, 111 nucleotides long. The record is from the annotation of a GenBank genome assembly. Lineage: Eukaryota; Metazoa; Mollusca; Cephalopoda; Sepiida; Sepiidae.